Non-coding RNA from Triticum aestivum (bread wheat), 130 nucleotides. NCBI's taxonomy places the organism in Eukaryota, Viridiplantae, Streptophyta, Magnoliopsida, Poales, Poaceae. The record is from Rfam.
ACAAUACUCCCUCUGUCCCAAAAUUCUUUUGUUAGAUUUAUUUAGAUACGGAUGUAUACUAAAACGUGAAUAGAUACAUCCAUAUGUAGACAAAUCUAAAACAAGAAUUUUGGGACGGAGUGAGUACUUC